RNAcentral lists this long non-coding RNA (964 nucleotides) under Phascolarctos cinereus (koala). RNAcentral's name for it is "lncRNA (ENSPCIG00000035384.1)". Lineage: Eukaryota; Metazoa; Chordata; Mammalia; Diprotodontia; Phascolarctidae. The record is from RNAcentral.
CUGGCUCUCUCAUCUUUGUAUAGGUGCCUGAGGCUCGCUCCCUAGGCCAGGGAGAUGGGUAGGAGGGGUAGGACAGGCCCUGCCCUCCCCACCAUCCCUCAUGUGGUUCUUCUGGGCCUUCCUUGUGCUGGUUCACCCUCUGGGGGGCCCUCCUCUGGGGCCCCCCAGCUGCCCUUGGGAGCCCUUUGAGGUUCUUACAGCUGUCAUGGAGGCCAUAGUGAGUGGGCAGGCUGGUGGUGGGUGGGAACUGGGUGAGGACAGCAGCUGGUGGAGAUGGGAGGUGGGAAAGGAGCCUGGGUGAUCUGGAGGCCACUCAUCCCCCUCCAAUCCCAGGGCAACAGAAAUGAUGGCAUCCUUUAUACUCCGGACAGUCUCUCUACAGGUGAUGACACGUUGCUGCUCUCCUCAUCCCGAUGAGGCACCUUCUACCUUCCUGCUUCUGCCUUUAGGAUUCCUGAAGUUCCCCCUCCCUCCCACCCCUCCCCAGGCCAUGUCCAGCCCCUGGCACUUGGCUGGGCACCGAGUUGGCAUUUAUAUGUUUAUCAAAUAAAUGAAUCAAAAUCAGGAAGUGAUUGAUCUAUAAACAACAUUCUAAGGGCACAGGGAGGCUUGUGAAAUACUUAAUCGAUCUGGACCUUGCUGCCAGUUGGGUGACCCCUUCUACAUAACCUGGAACUGGAUAGAUUUUUCCUCCCAUAUCCUGCCCCUCUCCCCAACCUGAGACCCAGUCUCAUGACCUUGCAGUGAGAGCUGCUUCCUAGCCUGAAUCCCCAAUGACCUCUGCUUCCCACCAAACCCCAUGUAUCUUGCAGAGACUGCUGGCCAGGGGAAGCCUUCCUAAGUCCAGCUUUGAGGCUGGACACUCCUUCCCCGUUUAGAAGCUUUCCAUGGCUUCCCAUUGCCUACUGUCUCAGGCUUUUCAGUGUCACUGCCUAGAUCCCUUGUGAUCCGACCUCUUCCAUCC